GUGGAUAUAGCUCAGCGGGAGAGCACGUGCCUAGGAGGUCCUGGGUUCAAUCCCCAGUACCUCCA
RNAcentral lists this transfer RNA (65 nucleotides) under Camelus bactrianus (Bactrian camel). It matches the Rfam family "tRNA". From Rfam's summary of the family: Transfer RNA (tRNA) molecules are approximately 80 nucleotides in length. Lineage: Eukaryota; Metazoa; Chordata; Mammalia; Artiodactyla; Camelidae. RNAcentral also lists the same sequence under 3 other names. The record is from Rfam by way of RNAcentral.